AUGCAAUACAUUCUGACCAUGCGGGAGCUGGGAGCGGAGCUGACGAGCCCUCCUUGGAGCCAUCCCCAGGGCUUGAAAAAUCUACCCCAAAAGAGCUGUGGCAGGGCAGGCAGGCCUGGCAGCCCCAGGAGCUGCCCAAAAUGCCCCACUGCUUGUUUUGUAGGCUACAAGGAACAAGGAGGAGCUCAGAGGCUGUCACUGAGAUGGCAUCUGGUUCUACAUAUCACCAUUUCCAUGGUCUUCCCCAAAGCCAGCUCUUCACCUGAUGGAGUUCCCUGCUGCUGUCUGGGUGCUUUGGCUGGGAAAUCAGGAGGGGAGAUCUGCGUGGUGCUGCCUGAGUCGCCCUGCCUGUCUCUGCCAGAGCCCCAAAGGAUUUUGCUGAUAGCUCUGCUCAGAAACUUUAUCUCCUGCCAUCAGGAUCCAUAUAAAAAGGACUUUGGACGUUCUGUAUUAAAUAAGCAGCCUUUCGCAAAAGGCUUCAGAACUGCUUUCCCUCCUCGCAGGUGGGAUUCCAGGCUUUGGUGGACAUGGAAGAAGAUUGUGGCCUCCUGUGAGUUUGUAAGAGCAGAGCUGUCAGUCUCCAGCACAGGCUGCCCAAAGAAGCUGUGGCUUCCCCACCCCUGGGUGUGCUCAAGGCCGGGCUGGAUGGGGGCCUGGGCAGCCUCAUCCAGGGAGGAUGCCCAUCACAAGGGGUUGUCACUGGGUGGAUGUUAAGGUCCCUUCCAACCCAAGUCACUCUAUGGUUCUAUAAGAUGAGCAGACCAUCACUAUUCUGACUCUUGAAAACUCAGUCUCACAAUGAAUAGCCAAUAUAUCACCUUUGGAAAGAGUUCACGUCCUUCCAAUGCCCCGCCUGCAGCCGUGGCAUCCUGCCUUGCAGGCUGUUUUCCACCAGCUGCAGGGCCAGCAUGUUCCAUUGGUAUCACAGCAAGGAGAUAACGUAUCAAGAAAUCUUAUUUCUCCUCACCAGCCAGCCUGAAAUCUGCUGAGACUGAGCAAAAUACUGGAGGGGACUUUGAAGCCAUGACUCAGGUUGCUCACUGAUAUAUUAACCCUUUGGAUUGGGAGUAUGAUAAAAAUGGGGAUGAAAGUGGAAAACGGUGUCUCCUUUAAUGUUUGGAAGCUGAGUGGGAUGGAAAAUGUAUGUGGUCCCAUCCUUAAAUCCCCCGAUUAGUUGUAGGGCCUUUAGGCAAGCAAGGGCAAGUGGCUGCUGUCUCAGGGAUGUGAUGGCUCCCACCACGUUUGGGAAGAACAGAUACAGCUCUAUGGAUAAAACAGGCCUUAGAAGAGCAUGACUCUGUAAUUGAGUGAAGUCUGUAAAACAUUGGGACUGAUCUUCCAUGAGGACUGGGGCUCGCAGCAGGAUCCUGCAGGCUGAUCAGGCAGUGAUGAAGCAAAGAGGAGGGAACAAGCCUGUUCCCGAGUUCCUGGUGCACCAGAGGCGAUCUACACAGUCCUAAAAAGGUUGCAAUGAAGAGACGGGCACCAUUCAUUACUUAAAUGCACGGAAAAACUCUGCCUGCUUUUGCAGUAAAAAUUAUUGAUCUGCUUCCCCUUAUCUUGCGUGAAGCCUGACUCACAGGGCUGUAACAGCAAUCAUUUUCAAGCUGGACUUUUCAGCAGGUUUCAAGCAGGAAGAUGUUCCUCCAACCCCUGGGACACGUGAGAGACCACAGGUACAGAGACAGCAUUGAGUGCACCAAAGCCUGACAGCACCCAGAACACCAAAACCCUUGGAGGCUGCGCUGCAAGGUGAGUUUGCAUGAGGUGUUGUUGAGAUUCUGUGGUGCUGUUUUUCACUUUCUACUGUUACUUCAGCUGUUUAAUCACUUGAAGAACAAAUUACCUAUUGUGUGGAUGUGUUUUGGGAUGGCACUGUGAUAUUGAUUGCCUGGAUAGGUUGCGAUGUUUGAUAGGUUGCCUGCUCCUAGUUUCUGUAAUAAAAUGCAAAGGCAAGAAAGGGGAAGGUUUCUU
Molecule: long non-coding RNA, 1974 nt
Organism: Coturnix japonica (Japanese quail)
Lineage: Eukaryota; Metazoa; Chordata; Aves; Galliformes; Phasianidae
Source: Ensembl